UGAGUACGAGAUGCUACGGCAUCGAAGCAGUCUAUGUCAUACUUCCAAGAAAAGCUUGCACUGUCAUAGACAAAAAAUGCCUGUACCAUAACCGACACAGGUGGGUAGGUAGAGUAUACUAAGGGGCGCGAGAUAACUCUCUCUAAGGAACUCGGCAAAAUGACUCCGUAACUUCGGGAGAAGGAGUGCCUUAUUUAUAAGGUUGCAAUAACAAGAUCCAAGCAACUGUUUACCAAAAACACAGGUCUCCGCGAAGUCGUAAGACGAUGUAUGGGGGCUGACGCCUGCCCAGUGCCAGAAGGUUAAAGAAGUUGGUUAGCAUUCGCGAAGCUGAUAACUGAAGCCCUGGUGAACGGCGGCCGUAACAAUAACGGUCCUAAGGUAGCGAAAUUCCUUGUCGGGUAAGUUCCGACCCGCACGAAAGGCGUAAUGAUUUGGAUACUGUCUCGGAGAGGGGCUCGGUGAAAUAGACUUGUCUGUGAAGAUGCGGACUACCUGCACCUGGACAGAAAGACCCUAUGAAGCUUUACUGUAACUUGAAAUUGAAAUUGGACUUUAUUUGCGCAGUAUAGGUGGGAGGCAUUGAGAAUAACCUUGCGGGGCUAUUGGAGCCAUCAGUGAGAUACCACUCUUGUAAUGUUAGAUUUCUAACUUUGUAUCAUUAUCUGGUCAAAGAACAGUUUCAGGCGGGCAGUUUGACUGGGGCGGUCGCCUCCCAAACGGUAACGGAGGCGCACAAAGGUUUCCUCUGAACGGGUAGAAAUCGUAUCUAGAGUGUAAAGGCAUAAGGAAGCUUGACUGUGAGACCUACAAGUCGAGCAGGGACGAAAGUCGGUCUUAGUGAUCUGACGGUGCUGAGUGGAAAGGCCGUCACUCAACGGAUAAAAGUUACUCUAGGAUAACAGGCUGAUCUCCCCCAAGAGUUCACAUCGACGGGGAGGUUUGGCACCUCGAUGUCGGCUCAUCGCAUCCUGGGGCGGUAGUACGUCCCAAGGGUUGGGCUGUUCGCCCAUGAAAGCGGUACGCGAGCUGGGUUCAGAACGUCGUGAGACAGUUCGGUCCAUAUCCGGUGUAGGCGUUAGAAUAUUGAGAGGAGCCUUCUCUAGUACGAGAGGACCGAGAAGGACAUACCUCUGGUGUACCAGUUAUCGUGCCAACGGUAAACGCUGGGUAGCUAUGUAUGGAGUGGAUAACCGCUGAAAGCAUCUAAGUGGGAAGCCCACCUCAAGAUAAGUAUUCUC
Molecule: ribosomal RNA, 1241 nt
Filed under: metagenome
Description: bacterial LSU rRNA
Rfam family: Bacterial large subunit ribosomal RNA
Source: RNAcentral